GACGUGACUUCAGAGUUUGAUCCUGGCUCAGGAUGAACGCUGGCGGCGUGCCUAACACAUGCAAGUCGAACGGAGAUUUAACGCUGAUGAAGCUUCGGCAGAAUCUUGUUAAAUCUUAGUGGCGGACGGGUGAGUAACGCGUGGGCAACCUGCCUCAUACUGGGGGAUAGCAGUUGGAAACGACUGAUAAUACCGCAUAAGCGCACGGAGUCGCAUGACUCUGUGUGAAAAACUCCGGUGGUAUGAGAUGGGCCCGCGUCAGAUUAGCUAGUUGGUAAGGUAACGGCUUACCAAGGCGACGAUCUGUAGCCGGACUGAGAGGUCGGACGGCCACAUUGGGACUGAGACACGGCCCAA
RNAcentral lists this ribosomal RNA (357 nucleotides) under uncultured bacterium. RNAcentral's name for it is "bacterial SSU rRNA". It matches the Rfam family "Bacterial small subunit ribosomal RNA", at positions 1 to 334 of the family's 1533-position model. The record is from RNAcentral.